RNAcentral lists this transfer RNA (72 nucleotides) under Capsicum annuum. It matches the Rfam family "tRNA". From Rfam's summary of the family: Transfer RNA (tRNA) molecules are approximately 80 nucleotides in length. Their secondary structure includes four short double-helical elements and three loops (D, anti-codon, and T loops). Further hydrogen bonds mediate the characteristic L-shaped molecular structure. tRNAs have two regions of fundamental functional importance: the anti-codon, which is responsible for specific mRNA codon recognition, and the 3' end, to which the tRNAs corresponding amino acid is attached (by aminoacyl-tRNA synthetases). tRNAs cope with the degeneracy of the genetic code in two manners: having more than one tRNA (with a specific anti-codon) for a particular amino acid; and 'wobble' base-pairing, i.e. permitting non-standard base-pairing at the 3rd anti-codon position. The record is from Rfam by way of RNAcentral. Lineage: Eukaryota; Viridiplantae; Streptophyta; Magnoliopsida; Solanales; Solanaceae.
UCCUCAGUAUCUCAGUGGUAUAGCAGUCGGUUAUUAAUCGAUUGGUCGUAGGUUCAAAUCCUACUUGGGAAG